GUGGGGAAUAUUGCACAAUGGGGGAAACCCUGAUGCAGCAACGCCGCGUGAGUGAUGAAGGUCUUCGGAUUGUAAAACUCUGUCUUUGGGGACGAUAAUGACGGUACCCAAGGAGGAAGCCACGGCUAACUACGUGCCAGCAGCCGCGGUAAUACGUAGGUGGCAAGCGUUGUCCGGAUUUACUGGGCGUAAAGGGAGCGUAGGCGGAUUUUUAAGUGGGAUGUGAAAUACCCGGGCUUAACCUGGGUGCUGCAUUCCAAACUGGAAGUCUAGAGUACAGGAGGGGAAAGUGGAAUUCCUAGUGUAGCGGUGAAAUGCGUAGAGAUUAGGAAGAACACCGGUGGCGAAGGCGACUUUCUGGACUGUAACUGACGCUGAGGCUCGAAAGCGUGGGGAGCAAACAGGAUUAGAUACCCGAGUAGUCC
This 425-nucleotide ribosomal RNA is filed under the name uncultured bacterium. RNAcentral describes it as "bacterial SSU rRNA". It matches the Rfam family "Bacterial small subunit ribosomal RNA", at positions 354 to 796 of the family's 1533-position model. The record is from RNAcentral.